AUCCUAUUGAGGAGUCCCACAAUAGGAUGAAACAGCUGUCUAGGUU
Molecule: non-coding RNA, 46 nt
Filed under: Schistosoma bovis
Lineage: Eukaryota; Metazoa; Platyhelminthes; Trematoda; Strigeidida; Schistosomatidae
Also listed under: 1 other name
Source: RNAcentral